This 180-nucleotide unclassified non-coding RNA is filed under the name Ambisporaceae sp. RNAcentral describes it as "partial contains 5.8S ribosomal RNA and internal transcribed spacer 2". The stretch from base 1 to 71 matches the Rfam family "5.8S ribosomal RNA", at positions 84 to 154 of the family's 154-position model. The record is from RNAcentral. Lineage: Eukaryota; Fungi; Glomeromycota; Glomeromycetes; Archaeosporales; Ambisporaceae.
GUGAAUCAUCAAAUUUUUGAACGCAUAUUGCACUCUCUGGUAUUCCGGAGAGUAUGCCUAUUUGAGGGUCAUUUGAAAUAAUAUAAAUUCAAAGACUUCUCGGAAUUUAAAAUGGGUUGCCUAUUUUUUGUGGUCGCCUAAAAUUCAAGAAUAGUGUAUAUUCUUGGGUUGCGUGAUAGU